AGUGUUAAGAUGCCACACAGGUGUUUCGUCUUUGGUUGUUCCAACACAGCGAAUUUACGCGAAGGAAUUGCACUGCACAGAAUUCCGUAUGCAAAUGAUAUGCGGCCCGAGGCAAAAAAGCGAAGAAAGACUUGGGUAGAUUUUGUCCGACGGAAACGUGAAAAAUGGGAGCCUUCUGUCCAUUCAGAAGUUUGCUCUAAACAUUUUAAAGAAGAGGAUUUUGUGAAUCGCUACAUUGGCGUCAAUGAAAUGCCUGACGCAGAUAAACCAUUGCUCGUGGCUCCUCGCUUGAAGCAAGACAAUAUAGGCAUAUGUGUGUUUCCUUCAAAAUACUGCGAGACAAGUAGCACGUUAUCCACGAGAGACCGCCGUCGAAUAACUCUUUGUGCUAAACAAACAGAUUAUGAAAAGUGUGGCGCUACAAAAUCUCAUAGUCAAGCAGCAGCAUGUUAAUCAACCGAGAGUUUUGAACAAUGCCCAACAGCAGAGAGUGACCAACACGAUUUAUGAGUUGAGAUGCUUGAACAACAAUCAGCAGAAGAAACUGACAUGGGUGAUAUUGAAGGAAAUGUAAAGACCGCGUGGGUCCAGACAAUGCCAUCAAGUUGUAGCAAUUGCAAUGAAUUAACGAAAAAGUUGAGGCAAAUGAAGGAAAGGAUGCUUUUUUAUAAGGCUCA
Long non-coding RNA from Dendronephthya gigantea, 677 nucleotides. RefSeq lists it as uncharacterized. The record is from RefSeq and is a predicted model, not a curated record. The transcript is spliced from 3 exons. NCBI's taxonomy places the organism in Eukaryota, Metazoa, Cnidaria, Anthozoa, Malacalcyonacea, Nephtheidae.